CCUACGGGUGGCAGCAGUGAGGAAUAUUGGUCAAUGGGCGUAAGCCUGAACCAGCCAAGUCGCGUGAGGGAUGAAGGUUCUAUGGAUCGUAAACCUCUUUUAUCCGGGAAUAAAGUGUGGGACGUGUCCUGUUUUGUGUGUACCUUAUGAAUAAGGAUCGGCUAACUCCGUGCCAGCAGCCGCGGUAAUACGGAGGAUCCGAGCUUUAUCCGGAUUUAUUGGGUUUAAAGGGUGCGGAGGCGGCCUUUUAAGUCAGCGGUGAAAGUUGGGGGCGCAACCAUAGAAGUGCCGUUGAAACUGGGAGGCUUGAGUAUGUGUGAGGCAGGCGGAAUGCGUGGUGUAGCGGUGAAAUGCAUAGAUAGCACGCAGAACCCCGAUUGCGAAGGCAGCCUGCCAAGCCAUGACUGACGCUGAUGCACGAAAGCGUGGGGAUCAAACAGGAUUAGAUACCCUUGUAGUC
This 460-nucleotide ribosomal RNA is filed under the name uncultured bacterium. Its description in RNAcentral is "partial 16S ribosomal RNA". It matches the Rfam family "Bacterial small subunit ribosomal RNA", at positions 338 to 795 of the family's 1533-position model. The record is from RNAcentral.